RNAcentral lists this long non-coding RNA (592 nucleotides) under Capsicum annuum. Its description in RNAcentral is "long non-coding RNA (CANN_LNC007444)". Lineage: Eukaryota; Viridiplantae; Streptophyta; Magnoliopsida; Solanales; Solanaceae. The record is from RNAcentral.
UGGGGUCUGGGGGAGUAAGAUGUACGCAGUCCAUACCUCUACCUCUAAAGAAGUAGAAAGGCUGUUUCCGAUAGACCCCCGGCUCAAGGCACGAGAUACCACACAAACACAUAGUAAAGCACAACACAAGAUUACAUAACAUAAAUACGGCACCCAUAAGUAAUAUAAAACAGAGAAAAGCACACAGAUUCGUAAUAAAACAUGAAACACGGAAUCAUAACGGACAUAAAACCCCCACCAAGUAAUUCCCUAGACUAGCGACUCAAACUGGCCCUAGUCCUCUGCCCUAAUUCGCGUCCUCCAGACCUUCCUAUCUAGGGUCAUGUUCUCGGUGAGCUGUAACUGCUCCAUGUCCCGCCUAAUCACCUCACCCCAGUACUUCUUCGGCCUACCCCUAUCCCGUCUAAAACCAUCCAACGCUAGCCUCUCACACCUACGGACCGGGGCAUCCAUGCCCCUCCUCUUCACGUGUCCGAACCAUCUCAGUCUGGCUUCCCGCAUCUUGCACUCCACUGGAGUCACACCAACCUUCUCCCGGAUAGUCUCAUUCCGCACUCUAUCCCCUCUAGUCAGCCCACACAUCCAACGCAAC